GGGGGAGUAGCUCAGCGGUGAGAGCAGCGGUCUUAUACACCGCCGGUCCCUGGUUCGAAUCCAGGCUCCCCUACCA
RNAcentral lists this transfer RNA (76 nucleotides) under Chloroflexota bacterium. RNAcentral's name for it is "Chloroflexi bacterium (soil metagenome) tRNA-Ile". It matches the Rfam family "tRNA". From Rfam's summary of the family: Transfer RNA (tRNA) molecules are approximately 80 nucleotides in length. Their secondary structure includes four short double-helical elements and three loops (D, anti-codon, and T loops). Further hydrogen bonds mediate the characteristic L-shaped molecular structure. tRNAs have two regions of fundamental functional importance: the anti-codon, which is responsible for specific mRNA codon recognition, and the 3' end, to which the tRNAs corresponding amino acid is attached (by aminoacyl-tRNA synthetases). tRNAs cope with the degeneracy of the genetic code in two manners: having more than one tRNA (with a specific anti-codon) for a particular amino acid; and 'wobble' base-pairing, i.e. permitting non-standard base-pairing at the 3rd anti-codon position. Lineage: Bacteria; Bacillati; Chloroflexota. RNAcentral also lists the same sequence under 1 other name. The record is from RNAcentral.